Molecule: ribosomal RNA, 404 nt
Filed under: Actinomycetes bacterium
Lineage: Bacteria; Bacillati; Actinomycetota; Actinomycetes
Description: Actinobacteria bacterium partial 16S ribosomal RNA
Rfam family: Bacterial small subunit ribosomal RNA
Source: RNAcentral
UGGGGAAUAUUGGACAAUGGGCGCAAGCCUGAUCCAGCCAUGCCGCGUGAGUGAUGAAGGCCCUAGGGUUGUAAAGCUCUUUCACCGGUGAAGAUAAUGACGGUAACCGGAGAAGAAGCCCCGGCUAACUUCGUGCCAGCAGCCGCGGUAAUACGAAGGGGGCUAGCGUUGUUCGGAUUUACUGGGCGUAAAGCGCACGUAGGCGGACUUUUAAGUCAGGGGUGAAAUCCCGGGGCUCAACCCCGGAACUGCCUUUGAUACUGGAAGUCUUGAGUACGGUAGAGGGUGGUGGAAUUUCCUGUGUAGCGGUGAAAUGCGUAGAUAUAGGAAGGAACACAAGGGGCGAAGGCGACCACCUGGACUGAUACUGACACUGAGGUGCGAAAGCGUGGGGAGCAAACAGG